GUUUUUGUAGCUUAUAUAUAAAGCAAAGGAUUUUUAAUCUUUCGUUGCAGUAAUUGUCAAAAAUAC
RNAcentral lists this transfer RNA (66 nucleotides) under Ruditapes philippinarum (Manila clam). RNAcentral describes it as "tRNA-Lys". It matches the Rfam family "tRNA". Rfam says of the family: Transfer RNA (tRNA) molecules are approximately 80 nucleotides in length. Lineage: Eukaryota; Metazoa; Mollusca; Bivalvia; Venerida; Veneridae. The record is from RNAcentral.